Episyrphus balteatus (marmalade hoverfly) is the source of this 767-nucleotide long non-coding RNA. RefSeq lists it as uncharacterized. NCBI's taxonomy places the organism in Eukaryota, Metazoa, Arthropoda, Insecta, Diptera, Syrphidae. The record is from RefSeq and is a predicted model, not a curated record. The transcript has 2 exons.
UAGACAUACCUAACAAAACAUAGAACAAAAGUCAAAAAUCUAUUUAAGCUUACCGUUAUUAUUUACUCAAAUUCUAUUUCCAUCACUUUUCUGUAAAUUAAUAAUAAUAAUUAAAAUAGAUUGUUUUUCGCUCGUGCCUCAAGUUUCAACUUCAAAAUAGCUAAAAAAAAAAAGGUCAAUACAAAAAAUAGAUAUUAAAAAGCGAGGCAGCACGUAAUAAAUAUUGACAAAGGCCAUUUCUAUUUUUAAAGCAAUAUUAAAAAAAGAACAAAAUAAGAAAGAAAUUGUGAACCUGAGGCUUAUUGGUACUUGCUCCUGUACUCAGAAAAAAAAGAACAUUGACAAACUUUAGCACAAACAACUGGUAUUGUCAUGGAUUUUUGAUUUUGUUUGAUUUUUUAUCCUCAGUAUGGCUAUGUACGUAAAGUAGCUUAGACAAGGGUAUAAAGUGUACACAUUUUGCAAUCAAAUCCAGAAGCAAAAAAGUAUACCCAAAAUGAAAAUGUCAUAAAAAUAUUUUCAUACCUACAAAUAAUAUGAAUACCUACCUGAAAAAACCGUAGGCUAUUAUUAUGAUGACCUCUAUCAUUUACGCGCAUGUCGAGGAAGCGUAUAAUAAUUUUCCGGUUUACUAUAUUUUAUCUCUAAAAAAAAAAAAAAACAAAUAAAUAAAUAGAAAAAAUUGCAAGGACACAAAUCUAGUGAAAGUGAUUUGGAAAAGUUUCCAUUUGUGGUUGAAAUAAAGUCCAUUAUUAUGUUAAUUUAAA